AAACUUUUUGUUUCACAUGACGAACUCAGUGUUUGAUAAUUUGAGAAGUGUGCUAUAUUUCUAUUAUUAUAAUGUUUACAUAUUAUCAUCAUCUGAAGUGAAAAACAUUGUUUUACAUUGAUUUAGAGUGCUGUCUUCGGACGGGGACUAAUUAUUAUAACAUUUUUAUAACUCAUUUCUUUUAUAAACUUUAUUUCCCAACAUUUUUUAUAAAUUUAUUUAACACCAUACAAAAAAAUAAAAAAAGUUAACGCAAAUAUUUAGUCAAUUUCAUUAAAACGCUUAACUGUUGAAUGAAAUUCAAACUAACAUUCUAGGUCUUAAUCUAGUCGUCGUCGACGCCGCCGGAGAUCCUCCUCGUCGAAGCCAAACGCUUUGCCGCCGUCUUCGUCGUCGUCGUCGCUGCUGCUGGUGGUGCUCACGUUGACGACAAGUGCAAGGGAAUCGGCAACGACAACAUUGUAGCCGGGGAAGUCGGGCGGGUCCUCGGGGUGGCAGGCGACACACGCAAUGUGGAUGUAGUCUUGGACAUGCUCCGUCGGCACGACCAUCUCUAACGUCUGGAUGGCCUCCUGCAGCCCCGGCAUGUUGUCCGGGUCGUCCUCCUGCGCCGCAACCUGUCGGUACUCCGCCAAAAGGGCAGGUUCCGGCUCCGGUGGAGGCGCGCGGCUCGAUCGAGCGCCACCUGCCGCCGCACGAGGGGCAACGAUGCGGCGGUCACCGCAACCAAGCAAAACCGACGCACGUCCAUCGGAGCCUCCACGGACGCCGGAGAAGCGGGAGGACCGCGCGGCGCCGCUGCGGAAGGCAGCGAAGUCGGCGUUGAUGGGGGCUGGAAUGGCGCUGGCGGCCGCCUACGCGCGAUGCGGGGCGACGACCUCCUCGAAGCUGCGGCCGUCCCACAGCUGGUGACAUCGGGUGUGGUUGUGCUUCACCGGCGUUCGCGGGCCGGCGAACGCAUGGAGGCGCGCGUCGUGGUCGGCGACGAGCAUGUCCGGCCAGGCGGGGUUGUUGGGGGCGUAUAGAGGGUUCCGCAGCUCCUCCGGUGACAGCCGCGCCCGGUAGAGGCCGACGGCGUGGGCGAACAGGUAGGUAUCGGGCUCGGACACCGGCGCCACCAGCACUCCGUCGACGCCGAGGCGCCACCCCAACGGCAUCCGCACGUCCGGCGCCGUGGGGAUGCCGAAGUGGGCGAGCUCCUCCGCUUCCUCGAGUGUCAGGUUGGGGCGCGCCGUCGUCGGAGACGGAGGGAGACGAACGAGGGAGGAGCGGGAAGAGGCGACGAGGGCGAGAGGGAGAGAGGGGCAAGCUGGUGCGGGAGUUAGGCGCCAGGGGCGGGCCUUUUAUAUAGGGCGAGCGGGAGAGAGGGGCAAGCUGGUGCGGGAGUUAGGCGCCAGGGGCGGGCCUUUUAUAUAGGGCGAGCGGGAG
RNAcentral lists this long non-coding RNA (1428 nucleotides) under Hordeum vulgare. Its description in RNAcentral is "long non-coding RNA (HVUL_LNC016949)". The record is from RNAcentral. Lineage: Eukaryota; Viridiplantae; Streptophyta; Magnoliopsida; Poales; Poaceae.